UCCGCAGGCGGAAAAAUAAGUCAGUGGUGAAAGCCUACAGCUUAACUGUAGAACUGCCAUUGAAACUGUUUUUCUUGAGUAUAGAUGAAGUGGGCGGAAUGUGUCAUGUAGCGGUGAAAUGCAUAGAUAUGACACAGAACACCGAUUGCGAAGGCAGCUCACUAAACUAUUACUGACGCUCAUGGACGAAAACGUGGGGAGCGAACAGGAUUAGAUACCCUGGUAGUCC
RNAcentral lists this ribosomal RNA (229 nucleotides) under uncultured bacterium. RNAcentral describes it as "partial 16S ribosomal RNA". It matches the Rfam family "Bacterial small subunit ribosomal RNA", at positions 568 to 796 of the family's 1533-position model. The record is from RNAcentral.